CCUACGGGAGGCAGCAGUCGGGAAUUUUGCGCAAUGGGCGAAAGCCUGACGCAGCGACGCCGCGUGGGGGAAGAAGGCCUUCGGGUUGUAAACCCCUUUCGUGAGGGAAAAAGUCCCGAGCAAUCGGGAUGAUGGUACCUCAGGAAGAAGCCACGGCUAACUCUGUGCCAGCAGCCGCGGUAAAACAGAGGUGGCAAGCGUUGUUCGGAUUUACUGGGCUUAAAGGGCGUGUAGGCGUCCUGAUAAGUCAGAUGUGGAAGCCUUGGGCUUAACCCAAGAAUUGCAUUUGAAACUGUCAGGAUUGAGUCGUGCAUGGGAGGGCGGAAUUCCUGGUGUAGCGGUGAAAUGCGUAGAUAUCAGGAGGAAGGCCGGUGGUGAAGAUGGCCCUCUGGGCAAUGACUGACGCUGAGGCGCGAAAGCGUGGGUAGCAAACAGGAUUAGAUACCCUGGUAGUCCACGCCCUAAACGAUGAGAACUGGAUGUCGGGAGGGUCUGCCUUCCGGUGUCGUAGCUAACGCGUUAAGUUCUCCGCCUGGGGAGUACGGCCGCAAGGUUGAAACUUAAAGGAAUUGACGG
This 576-nucleotide ribosomal RNA is filed under the name uncultured bacterium. RNAcentral describes it as "bacterial SSU rRNA". It matches the Rfam family "Bacterial small subunit ribosomal RNA", at positions 338 to 916 of the family's 1533-position model. The record is from RNAcentral.